AUGGAAGUUCCCAGGCUAGAGGGUGAAUCAGAGCUGUAGCUGCCAGCCUACACCAUAGCCACAGCAACACAGGAUCUGAGCCGCAUCUACAAACUACACUACAACUCAACAACUGCUGGUCCUUAACCCACUGAGUGAGGCCAGGGAUCAAAACCAUGUCCUCAUGAAUACUAGUUGGGUUUGUUACUGCUGAGCUACAAUGAGAACUCUGGUCACUUUUUAAAUGUUAGGACAGUAAAUUGUUUUAUUAUUUUUUCCUGUCAUCUUUAUUUAAUGAUUUUUAUUCUUUGAUUGCUUCAAGUUUUCUCUUGGAGAAUAAUAUCUACCCCACUCUCAAGCCAUGGACUUUGGGUAAGGUCUCAACUCUAGUGUUGAACAUAUGUCCCUAAGGCUGGCCAGGCAGCGUUCUGGAUUUCUGUUGUUGUGCUAACUCCAUGAUAGACACAUGACCCGCUGUUCUCUAAGCAGUGCAUUCUAGGUCUUACAAAGAAAUUUUCAGAAGCUGCUGCUGUUAUUGGUCCAGGAAGAGGACCCCUAUUCAACAUAAGCUGUCUGUCAGUGGAAUAGAGGUGGAGUUGUCAGGCCCAAAGAAAUAAAAUAACCAGGCCCUCAAGUCCAUAUCUUUCCCAUCUUCUUAUGAAACGGCCACAGUAGAAGUUAUCUUAAUCUUUUUCUUUAAAACAUUUUCAGUUGAGGGUUUUUUUUUAAUUUUUAUUUUUUACCAUUGUUAUCAAAGGAAUCCUAAAUGAUAAAGAAUCUGCAGUUCUUUAGAUUUCUCCAUAAUUUUUAAACCUUAUUUUUUAGAGCAGUUCUAGGUUCAUAGCUAAAUUGAGAGGAAGGUAUGGAGAUUUCCCACAUAUUUUUUUAAGCAAAAAAAAGUUUACAUGUUGUAUUUUAGAUAUGUAUAUAUUACUGCUAUACUGAAAUAAACAUUUUUCAUUGCUAGAUACUCACAAUACAUACUAUAUCUACAAUACCAUAUGCUAGAUACUAUCUUAGAUGAUAGAAUCAAAUGGGAUUUCCUCAUAUUUGUCAGCUUAUAUGUUUUUGCCUUAUAGUUAUAUAUACGUUAUCACAGACUUUUUAGUAAUCCCCUCAAAAAUACUUUUGAAAUUUGAGACAUUCCUCCACCAACUAUCUCUUUUCUAUCAGUAGUUUUCAGUAACAGAGAAAAAUUAGUUAUCAUAGUUGUCAUUAUAGAGUUUCAUAUUUAGAACUCUAAACUUUACUCUCCCAUUGAGUAGGAUAACCUGUUGAAUGUCUUCUAUGAAAUCAAAGAGAACUCAGCUCUUUGCCCUAUUGAUGAAUUAUCAAUAGUCAGGACCAAAAAAGAAAAAAAAUGGAGAACUCUAUCUCCAUAUACCUUGCUCACUUAAAAAAAGGAGGAAAAUGUCACUUGAAUCUGUCAAAAUCAGACACUCAUGUUUCCCUUCUUAAGGGAUAUCUUGAGUGGCUUCUGUUACGUCCCUGAUUAUAGGUGACAGCCUGACAACAGUGGGACAUUUUGAUAGGAGCCUUUACUUCUGAAAACUGAGACCAAAUUAUCUUUCUGUUGAACUUCCUAAACCAUGUGCAUAGAGCAGAAACACUAUUUUUUUGCCAGAUUCAUUGAACAUAGAUCUGUAUAGUGCUGUAUUGUUUGCUGUUAAUACUAUUCAGGUGAUUUGGGUGUUGGUGAAUAAGAUAUAUAUUGUGCUAGCUCUUUCAUUGAAAUGAAAUGUUAAUCCAUCUUUGCAUUUUGUUUAAAUAUUAUUUAUCCUAUUUAUGAUUAUAGUUUAAGUAGAAUUGUUUCAACUAUGAGAUUCAUGACCUGUUGCAUUUUGUUGGAUUUAAUAAAUAGUUUUUAUGAGAUAUUUAAAACACAAAUAUGGUAAAAUAUUAGUUAUUUGCCUGAAAUUUCUGCUUACAAUCCCUUCAGAUAAUUCUGUUAUAAAAUAAAACUUUUUAAAGGAUUUUCUAGAUCUUUAAUUUGUCUCUGUUUAUUAAUGUUGUCAGGCUUUUUUCUUCCUGUCACUGGGAUCUUGGGGCUUGUCACCACAUCUAUCACCAUUUGCCAAUAUAACAGGAUCAAAAUAAUUGUUACCUGCCCAAGGUCAUACAACUUGUAUAACUGGAAUUCUUAACAAGAAAUGACUUGUGAGCCCUAAUCUUAAUGGAACUGCUUGCCUGCUUAGUAGACCAUUCUGCUUUUAAAGCUGCCCAGUGGAUUAGCCUGCCUUGGCAGUGAAAGCUUGGUUAUUUCCACCAUAUUUUUGGUCACUCUUAGGCAUUAAAACUUAAACUUAGUAACUGCAAAGUCUUGUCAUGUAUACUAUUCAAAAUUUAGAACUUGGUUUAAAAUCAAGACUUUAUUACAUACCUGGGCAUAGAUCUGUUGUAAACUGAUUCUGCUUUCAUUUUCCACUCAGUGUUUCAGCUUCUCCCCAGCUUGUCACAGUUGGAUCAAGAAUAAAAGAAUGAUACAUAACGGUGUUCUUUCUUGUCUGGUAAUGUCCAGAGAUGGCGUCUCCCUCUCUGUAUUAAGCAGGAGUUUAGGCUUACUCCUCCAUACAGGAAUCAGUCUUGUAGAGAUCUGAGGACCCUCCUCCUCUCCCUCCCCUAUUAGUUGGGAGUUCUCAUCUAAUAAGGGAGAUGAAUGGCAUAGUAGCUUUCGAUUAUGUCUUACUCCUCCUUACUCAAACCUAGGAACAUGUCUCUUGCAUAUGGCAUAUGCAUAAUUUAUACCUAAUCCACCAAAAGCAUUUAUGCUCUCAUUUUCCCACAAGGUAUCUGGGAGUGUAGCUGCACCCUAAAUAUCAGUCUUCUCUUCCGAAGUCCCUUGCUGAUUCUUUCAACUUCUCUACUCUUUAGAUACCACAGAUGUUCCAACUUAAUCCUUUUAGCUGCUCCAGGUUUCAAAAGACACACUGAAUUCUUAGAGUUAAUUUCAAAUCAUGGUGCUAACUUGAAAUAAAAAACAGCCAUCCCGCCGUUUUCUUUGGGAUAGGUGAUGUCCUGACCUAGAGAAAGUUACAGUUUAGCUGAACACAUCUUUUUGUUGGACUGUACACAGAAUAAAACAGAAUUUGGCAUACUAUUCAUGAGAAUAAUAUAAAAGCAACAAAAUAAUGUUCAGUAAAUACUAAAUGCAGCUGGCUCUUCUGCUUAUAAAACUAUGGUGGUGUGAUUUAAAGUCCUUGAAUUUUUUGUCUAACUUUAAGAAAAGCUAAGCUUUGAUGACGUGAUUAAAAACAACUUCCAUAUACCUUAUAUAGCUAACAUCUUAGCAAUUAGAACUGUCACCACCUAAUCGGACUCCCUAUUUCUUUGUGCCCAUUCUGUAACUAUAUUUAGUCAGAGUGAAGGGAUAAAAUACUAUGAUAAAUAUGUACUAUUAAAAGGAUAGACACCACAGGACAGAAAGACAUAUAGCAAUAUGAAUGAGGAAGGAAACUGUGACAAAAGAAAUAAAUGACACAUGUAGCUUAGACACCUGAGUAGGGACAGUUUCGAUGAAGAUGAAAGACAGGAAAAUUAAAACUAGAGGAGAGAGAGAAAAAAAGAGAUUACUGGAAAAUGAUAUAGACCUCCCAGGCAUGGUUUCAAAAGCUCACUGAGAUAAGAAAAGCCUUUAAAAAGAUCAUUAAUCACUGGUAUUUCAAUUAGCUAAUAUUGACUGGGAUGGCAAUUAUGGCAUUGAUAAGAAAGGGCUUCUUUUCCUGGAGGUAACACAGUCUGUUUCCUGACAUAUUCUUUUAACAAUCCACAGGAGCCUAUACUAUUAUACAGUUAGCCCUAAUGUGGCUGGAAAAUGAGACAAGGAUGAAAAAUAAGAGAGUGGUAUAGAGUCAUCUCAAGUCUGGUGAUCACAAUGUCAUCAGAAUGUCAAUGCCCUUGAGGUUGUAUGUGAAGGUAACAGAACAGAAAUUGGGCUUGAGUAAAUAAAUGACAGAGGCCAUUAGGAAAUAUGGCAUAAGUUUUUUAAAGUUGUUUAAAUCAAUUUGAGUAAAUUUAUGAAAAUACAUUUUUUUAAAUGGCAAACAGUUGAAUAGCUUUGUUAUUAUAGAAAACCUUUUUCUUUCUCUGAAAGAAAAUGUAGUAAUUUUACUUUCUAAAUAUUUUCCCAUGGUUUUGGGAGAGAUAGAGCAGUCUCAGAACUUCUUCUUGAGAGGUCAGUUUUUCAGAAUAUUAUUUUACCUCCUGCUGGUUGUUAUACGUGCAUAGCUUUAAGUGUAGCUUUUUAAGUAUUGCCUAAAAGUACCAGGCUAUCAUCAUAGCACAUGUGAUUAAUAGAAACAGGAAGAGUAUAUUGAGAAAAGAGACAGAUCCACAUACUAAUAAUGUUUUACAGUUUUUAAAAGCCAAAGAGACUCCAACUUUAACUCAUUUUUUCCCCAGUACUUUUUUAUUUUUUAAUUGAAGUAUACUUGGUUUAUAAUGUGUGUUAGUUUCAAGUAUACAGCAAAGUGACUCAACUAUAUCUGUUUAUCUGUACAUUCUUUGGCAGAUUCUUUUCCCUGAUAGGUUAUUAUAAAAUAUUUAGUAUACUUUCUUAUGCUAUACAGUAGGACCUUCUUGACCACGUAUUUCAUAUGUAGUAUGUGUAUAUGUUAAUACCAAAUUUCUAAUUUAAUCCUCCCAUAACUUUCCCCGUUGGUAGUCAUAAGUUUGUUUACUAUGUCUGUGAGUUUAUUUCUGUUUCAUAUGUAAGUUAAUUUGUACCAUUUUUUUAGGAUUCCACAUAUAAACAAUAUUAUAUUUGUCUUUCUCUGGCUUACUUCACUUAAUACGAUAAUCCCUACAUCCAUCAUGUGGCUGCAAAUGGCAUUAUUCCAUUCCUUUUUAUUGCUGAGUAAUAUUCCAUUGUAUAUAUGUAUCACAUCUUCCUUCUCUUCAUCUAUUGAUGGACAUUCAGAAUGUUUACAUGUCUUGAGUAUUGUAAAUGGUGCUGCAGUGAACACUGAAAUGCAUGUAUCCUUUCAAAUUAUGGUUUUCUCCAGAUGUAUGCCCAGGAAUGGGAUUACUGGAUCAUAUGGUAGAUUCUAUUUUAGUUUUUUAAGGAGCCUCCAUACCAUUCUGCAAAGUGGCUAUACCAAUUCACAUUCUCCAUAGUGUAGGAGGGCAACUUAUGCUAACUUUAAGAGAAAAAAAAUAUAUCAAAAAGAAAUAUAGACAUUAAGCUGUGACAUUAAGUUAUCCAUCCAUAUUUUCUGGAGAACAAACUACAAAAACAGAAAUUCAAACUUAAUAUUUUCCUAUCUGAGAUUGGAGAAAAUAAAAAGAAUAUGCGAUGAAUGCAAAUGCAUUCACGUAAAUAUUUAACCUAUAAUAUACUUGCAUACUCUAGGCUCUGUGGUGGAAUAAUGUUUCAUUAACUGCGUAACAUAACUAAUCAAUUUUUUCUUAACCUUUAAUUCAUUAAAUUUUUUUUAGAGAUGUAUUCUAAAGUGUGUUGGUGUAAGGCAGUGACUCCAUCAUCAGUGCCAGACCUUAAGGGACCAAGAAAAGGAGAGGUUUCCAAGGUCUAUAGGAGAGUUAUGCAGAGGCCACUUCAUGGGUGGGAGAAGUGACCUUUUGGGGAAACACCUAGCCAGUUAUUCUUCAAGGAGGAAACUGGGAAGAUAAAUACCCUGACCUCUCUUUCCUCAUUCUGACCACCUGCUUGGUUCCCAUUAGUGUAACCUAUCAGGAAGCUAGAGGGGACAAGACACCAUUGCUGUCAUUUCUGCAGGUCCUAUGCCUAGAAAACAGAGCAGGUGGAACAGUGUACUAGAAUCUGGAGAAGCAGAUGAUAGGUGUCCAGCCUGAUGUACAAAGUUGUACAUGUGAAGACAUAUGUAGACACAGAUUCUUAAGGGCCUCAUUUUUUUUUAUAUAUUUUUAUUUUUUUCAUUAUAGUUGGUUUACAGUAUUCUGUCAAUUUUCUACUGUACAGCAUGGUGACCCAGUUACACAUACAUGUAUAUAUUCUUUUUUCUCACAUCAUCAGGCUCUAUCAUAAGUGACUAAAUAUAGUUCCCAUUGCUACACAGCAGGAUCUCAUUGCUAAUCCAUUCCAAAGGCAAUAGUCUGCAUCUAUUAACC
This 6063-nucleotide long non-coding RNA is filed under the name Sus scrofa (pig). Its description in RNAcentral is "lncRNA (ENSSSCG00000055137.1)". Lineage: Eukaryota; Metazoa; Chordata; Mammalia; Artiodactyla; Suidae. The record is from RNAcentral.